UUUUCACAAAAAAUAAUUUGUCAAAAAUAUUUAAAUUAAUUACAGAUGGACUAUUUUUCCAUCUAAAAUUAUAAUAUUCCCAUAGAUUUUUCCUUGUUCGUUGGAAAAUUAAAUUUUCCCCAAACAAAAAAAACCCAACCCUAGCCCUCCUCAGUCAGCUAGCGCCGCUGCCGCUGCCGCUGCCAUUUUCGCCCUCACCUUGUCCAUUGUGCUCACACUCACUCAAGGUCAGGAUUUGCUCAACUCCCUCUGUCUCUCUCAUAUCUUCCAACCCUACCAUUCUCUUCUCUCCCAAAUUCCCAUCUUCUUUUUCUUCCCUCUCCUCCUUUCCCAAUUCUUCUAAUUCUCUUUUACAAACCCUUACGCGCUUCCCCCUCUGUUUCUCUCAAUUGCUCCUCUUGUUCUCUCUCUGGCUUCCUUGUCAGGGCUUCGGUAAGUUUCCGCUCUCCUUCUCCAUCUGGAUUCUUGUUUUUCUUUUACAAAGAGAAGUUUCUGCCAAGUUUAUAUGUUUAACGAAAUUGUUGUAUUAAGCAAAUACAACAGUAUUUUUAUUUCUUUUUUCAGAGACACCUUCUCUUGAUAGAAGUAAGUUCACGUGUCCAAUUUGGGUUUUGGCUAGUGCCCAAU
RNAcentral lists this long non-coding RNA (627 nucleotides) under Glycine max (soybean). Its description in RNAcentral is "long non-coding RNA (GMAX_LNC003321)". The record is from RNAcentral. Lineage: Eukaryota; Viridiplantae; Streptophyta; Magnoliopsida; Fabales; Fabaceae.